CCUGAAUUCGAAAGGGGUUGGAUUCAAUGCCUUCCGUGUUGCUGGGCUACCCUGGUCAGAUGGUGCCGGUCGCCCGCGACGAUUCAUUUCGUUUGCGGUGUCGUUCCCGGUGUCCACUCGUCCAGUGUGGUUGUGCUCCGGUGCCGGAGGAGUGCACUUCCUCCCUAGUAGAAACGUCGCGACCCGUUGGGUGCCGGUCUAAGGCCCGGGAUGGCAGACCGCGCGUCCUGUGGGGGUUCUCACAGGCGCGCGGACUCUUGGUGACCCGGCCGGCUGCCCGACGGUAUGACCAGAGGAGUCGAUCCGCUGAUUGAGAAACACUGUGGUUGUGAAGCGUCCGGGCCUGGCGGCGUUGCUUGCGGGGAUUGAGGUGUAUACCGGGGGUGUCCGUGCGAAGCUCGGCCCCGGCCCCGCAGGUGUUCGCAGUCUUGUCCUUGGACUGGAUCAGCACUCCCGUCUGCGACGCCCAUCUUCGGAUGGUCUCCCG
This 487-nucleotide ribosomal RNA is filed under the name Sipyloidea biplagiata. RNAcentral describes it as "partial large subunit ribosomal RNA". The record is from RNAcentral. Lineage: Eukaryota; Metazoa; Arthropoda; Insecta; Phasmatodea; Lonchodidae.